RNAcentral lists this long non-coding RNA (951 nucleotides) under Homo sapiens (human). Its description in RNAcentral is "HSALNT0370278". The record is from RNAcentral. Lineage: Eukaryota; Metazoa; Chordata; Mammalia; Primates; Hominidae.
GAGGAGGAGCUCAGUCAAAUUUUAUAUGAGGGGAGACCAAGUUUGAUCUUGCCGAGAGAUCCUCGUUCUGUAAACCCCGGCCCAGAACAAUCCCAGGGGCCUUAACUACAGACUCUAAUUGGGCGCAUCAGCAUCACGAGUAGGACUCAACUACUUGUGGACCAAGGUGACACUUAGGAAUCCCAAGAAGCUCCAGCCAUAAAGGGAGUCGGUAUCCUUCCUCCAAUUGUAAACCCCAGCACUCCCACUGAACACACUGGCCAUGCCAAAAGUUCACACAUCGGCCACGCAAAGAGCUCAAAGAGAUCCAUUCAGUACCUGGGAAGGCACGAUCACUACGGGGAGAAUCAGAAACCACGCGAUCGCCAGGUGGCCUUCAAAGAAGCCUCCUCCCAGAAGGUCCAGAAUCCCAUCCAGAGACAUUUCUGUCACUCUUCUCAAGCCACCUCAUCAUCUCUCUCUGCAGUUGAACUGCUGAUGUUUCUGAGAUUGUGGGUUUGUUCAAAAUGAAGCUUGGCAGAAUCAUAAUUUAUAGGCUAAUAUUUUGUAAGUAGAGACAAUUCAUGACUUAGAAUCUUAUGAAUAAAUUGCUCCUGUUUUAUUGCUCUGUGUGUGUGUGUGUGUGGGUGUGGGUGUGGGUGUGGGUGUGUGUGCAUAUAACUUUUCUUUUUCCACGUUUACCUCUUGAGUGGGCCCAUUAAACUGAGAAGUACUGCGUGAGGUCUUGAGAUAGCACAAGCCUUCGCCACCCCUGUAAAGGUGUGACGUGUGUCUAGGCAAAACCCUGGCAGGUCUCCAGGCGGUCCUUCUGAGUUAGGGCUCUGAACACUCUCUCUUAAAGCCCUGAGCUAUGAACACAGCUUUGAACGGGACAGAGAAAGACCAAGUCAGAGGGGGAGCAGCUGUGUCUUUCUCCUCUCUGCUUCAUUAUAGACAAAAUUGACCUCUGGG